AACGAACGCUGGCGGCAUGCCUAACACAUGCAAGUCGAACGAGACCUUCGGGUCUAGUGGCGCACGGGUGCGUAACGCGUGGGAACCUGCCUUUAGGUUCGGAAUAACUCAGAGAAAUUUGAGCUAAUACCGGAUGAUGUCUUCGGACCAAAGAUUUAUCGCCUUUAGAUGGGCCCGCGUUGGAUUAGCUAGUUGGUGGGGUAAAGGCCUACCAAGGCGACGAUCCAUAGCUGGUCUGAGAGGAUGAUCAGCCACACUGGGACUGAGACACGGCCCAGGCUCCUACGGGAGGCAGCAGUGGGGAAUAUUGGACAAUGGGCGAAAGCCUGAUCCAGCAAUGCCGCGUGAGUGAUGAAGGCCUUAGGGUUGUAAAGCUCUUUUACCCGAGAUGAUAAUGACAGUAUCGGGAGAAUAAGCGCCGGCUAACUCCGUG
RNAcentral lists this ribosomal RNA (433 nucleotides) under uncultured bacterium. Its description in RNAcentral is "partial 16S ribosomal RNA". It matches the Rfam family "Bacterial small subunit ribosomal RNA", at positions 29 to 507 of the family's 1533-position model. The record is from RNAcentral.